This is a non-coding RNA of Coturnix japonica (Japanese quail), 4021 nucleotides long. Lineage: Eukaryota; Metazoa; Chordata; Aves; Galliformes; Phasianidae. The record is from RefSeq and is a predicted model, not a curated record.
CUUUUCCAACCUGAAUGAUUCUGUGAUUCUAUGAUUCCAUGAUCUUAAUGCAGGAGGAAGAAGACCCAUAAAUGAGGUUUCAUUUUGAGUUUCAUAUAGGACGCCCUGCAGCCUUGGAAAUGUAGCACACUACAAGCUUUGCUGCCACCAGCCUCCAAAACUACAUCACACUUGAAGUCUUAUGACUCUGAUGAGUGAGCUCCAUGCUUUCUCCUUGAUCCCUGAUGACCAGCAAAACUCAUCCCAGACUGAAAGCCGAGGAGGGAUGAUUUGCAGCAGAAUACCAAUUUUGAUGAUUAUAUACUGCACCGACACACCAUCAGAAUAAUGGGGGCAGCUGAUGGAUUUGGUAGCACUGGGCGCUUAACAUUCUGCCUUGUUUUGCCUCCUGUCAUUUCGUGGUGUUAAUGGCUUCGCUGUGAUUUGUUAGAUUGCAUGACCUCAAGGACACCCAGCUCCCUCCUUCGUUUCUCUUCCUUCCUUCUCUCCCUGCGCGUGUGUACGUGCACCUUUAAUGGAAGGCUUUGUUUUAAUAGAAUCUAAAUGACAUGUCUCUGCUUUGGACAGAGUUCAGGAAAGCCAUCACAAGGACAGAGAAACCACAAGCAUCCUAUGAAUGAUUUCAGCUUUCCCUUGAUAAGCUGGUGACCUGUUCCAGCAAUGAAGCUGGGGGCUAUUGAUUCAGCUCAGGGCAAUUGUGCAGGUUUUAGCUGAAUUGGCUUGGCACGUUGGCUGGAGAUUGCACCUAUUUUCAUGACAAGAAUGAAUAGCUGCUGAACUGUUCUGUCUGCCUGCCACCCAGUGGGUGUGGGGACUGAGGAGCUGCUCUGCAAAGAGUAGGGGUAUCAGAUAAAUACUUCAGGGGUUUCCAGCUAUAGACUUUAAUGCACUAUACCAAGUGGAACAGAGGAUGGUUUGUGGGCUGGAGAAACAGGUCUUCCUGAUCCCAAGAGAAGAAAUACAUCCUAGCUGAAUCUUAUUGUCCAUGUAGGAGUAAGACCGGAGCAUGCACUGUGCUAUCUCACGACCCCAUCUAGAGAAAAGAUGGCCCCCUUUUGUCUUACCACUAUGAUUUUAAAAGUCAGUCUCCAUCUUAUUAGAGUUGGGCUCCAUGAUCCUUAUGAGUCCAUUCCAACUCAGGAUGUUCUAUGAUUCUAUGAUUGUUUAUGAGCUCUCUUUAAAUACUGAAAUCAAGGGCUUUUGUGCAAAUUGAAGAGCUGUGCACUGGUGCCAGCUCCAGUUCAGGAUAAUUUGGCUCUGGUCUAUUUCUUCAUGACCUGUCUGGCCUGGCCGCACUGUUCCCCAAUCAUCUUCCUACUCCCAUGGAAAGAGCAUCUUCCAUUCUCUGGGGCACAAGAUGUUUAAAUUCAGGCAACUGAAAGAGAGUCUUUGGUCUACUUUGACUGUGGCCGUAGGAGUGUAGACGCCUACACUUUGGCACUGAAACUGGUGUGUUUCCAUCUAUCAGCUAAUCUCGCCUAGGGAUUCAACAUAUUGUUAAUGAUGUGUCUAGCAGGGGAAGAGGGAAGUGUCUCAGUUUUCAGGCUUAUUCAGCCCUGAAAAUAUCCUCGCUGUGCUGUUGGGAACUGUGGUGAUGUGGUUGCUUGCAGGAUGUCUUGGGGAGGUGGAUGCUUCAGGUUAGAUGGGAAGGGGCUGGUGGAGGAUCUUGUAGCACAGAUGAGACCUUUCAGCUUGGUCAAAGGAGCAAUGCAACCUGAUGGAGCCAUGGGUGUCCCUGUUCAAUGCAUGGGAGUUUGACCAGAUGACCUUUAAGGGUUCCUUCCAACUCAAGCCAUUCUAUGAUUCUGUGAUCUUAUAUGCACAAGGGCUAUCAGGGGAACUGCAGCUGUAGCAAAGAGAAGUGGCCCCCAAUACCCCACUGCCCCAUUGCCUGAGGAAGAAGGAGAGAAGGUUUGUACAGAAAGAUUUUCACUGGAGGAACAAUUGAAGGAGGCUGUGGAUGCCCCAUCCCUGCAGGCAUUCAAGGCCAGGCUGGAUGUGGCUCUGGGCAGCCUGGUCUGGUGGUUAGCGACACUGCACAUAGCAGGGAGUUGAAACCAGAUGAUCAUUGUGGUCCUUUUCAACUCAGACCUUUCUAUGAUAACACAACCAACCCCACUGCAACUCCAUGAGGAAUAACCCUGUUGCCUUUGCAGCUUUUUCCCCCUCCCAUUUUGCUCCCAGCCUUGAGAGAGGAAUUAUUCAGUGGUGAAUAAUUGCACACUGCUCUCCUCCAGCCUCGAUAGUUCGGUCAAUAAUAACAGCCCGCUGUGUUCUAUCACAUGGGGCUCUUUCUCCUUUGUCUUCAACUUCCAGAUUCCUCUUAAGGUUCAGAAUGGAAAGAUCCCUCCUCUCUGUCCUUAUCUGCAAGGUGAAAGGAGGGAGAAAUUGUCUUCUGCCUUUGAGAAGAUAAGUCACGUUGGACUCUUCCUCUUUAGAAAAGUCUCUAAUGCCAUUUAUCAAUUAAUUACUGGGUUGCAUUUAUGCCCAUUAAUUCCCCUUGCUGUCUUUCAUUUUUGGAAAGGUCUGUGCUGCCCAGGAUCUAAUUGUCCUGGUCUUACGUUGCUUUCUUUCUCAUUUUCAAGCUAAGUGGAUGCCAAAGCCUACGAAGGCAGCAGUCUCUUCCCCCUCCUCUUCCACCCUGGCCAUUCUCAAAGCGGAUUUGGCUGGGCUUGGGGGGAAUGGAUUAAUCUGUGUGGCCCAAGCUUUAAAUCCUAAUUCUACUCCUGAAACAAUCAUUGCUGGAUGCAGAGAAACAUUUUCACCUGGAUUUCUUUACCUGGAAAGAAAUACUUUCAUGUCAACUACAACAUGCUGGGGUUUUCUAUCAAUCUUGGUUCAUCCUUUGAGUCCAAAUAACCAAUCCAGAUGAUUUUGAUAAGAAAAGCUUCAAUUUAACUUUGUUUCCACCCCCUUCAAACAGUUUAAUACCUCCCUUACAAACAGUAUUUCACUUUCUUCGCUUCAAGUUAAAACACAAAUGUGUUUAUUUUAAAUGGAAAUAAGUUCCCAAGUAAACAAAAUGGGCUUAUUUUGUUCAAAUGAUUUUACAGAGAAAAAAAAUAGUAAUGAAAUGUAUACCUUUCAGAUAAGUCCAAAAAUGCCUUUUUUCAGUUCAGUCACUUAAUCAUAGAGCUUUUCCUGCCCCCCUACCCCACAAUCGCCAUCCUUGAUGCCAUUGAGAAGAGCACAAAUGCUGCCAUGUAAGCCAUGUUUCAGCAAGGAAAGAUCUUUCUGGUGUUAACUAAGUCAGAUUUUUGAGACCUGAGCAGAGUCAGUCCUCUGGGGCAAUAAGCUUGGAUGCUCAAAUCCAGCAAGAGCCCAGAGUUUCACAGUCCUUUCCCCAGAGUGCCCAAUGGGCUUUGGAUGGCAUCGUGCUGAAAGCCAAUUAGAAGAAAAUCUUUUGUAAAAGCCCUGGCUUUGGCCAGAAAAGGAAGGCCGUGAUACACAUAAAUCCCAUUGGUUCCUGCCGAGAUGCAAAUGUGUCUGGAAGUCACAGAUGUGGUUAUGAGGUCAUAGAAUCUUCGAAGGGCUUGGGUUGGAACUGUCCUCAAAGAACAACCAGUCCAACCCCCCUGCCAUCAGCAGGGUUACCAACCACUAAGUCAGGCACCAGACCAGGCUGCCCAGGACUGCAUCCAACCCAACUCUGAACAUCACCACAGAUGGGACAUCCACAACUUCCCUGGGGAGAGAAGGAUUCAUCUAUGGGGCUCCUCUGGGGAGUGCUCAAUGUUCUGCAUCUGUGGAUUCAACCCUUCAUGUGACCCAAAGUGCUUCCAUACAUGGAAAAAGGAAAGUCCCUUCACACAUCCAGUCUCAUGCAAAAGCCUGAGAGAUCCCAAAUCUGCACAAAAGGAAGUAAAAUCACCAGCAGGAUCUCCAAGGACAAUGUCUAUGAAACUUGGCUGCAAGUUGUGUGUUGGAAAUGAGAAAAUUCACUCCUGGCUUACAUCAGGGAAGCAGUACAGAAGGAGAAUAAGAAAUGAAGAGCAGCAAUAAAAUGAAUUAUUCAAAAACA